CUUGCCUACGGGGGGCAGCAGUGGGGAAUAUUGGGCAAUGGGCGCAAGCCUGACCCAGCAAUGCCGCGUGAAGGAAGAAGGCCCUCGGGUUGUAAACUUCUUUUAUCAGGGACGAAGGAUGUGACGGUACCUGAUGAAUAAGCUCCGGCUAACUACGUGCCAGCGGCCGCGGUAAUACGUAGGGAGCAAGCGUUAUCCGGAUUUACUGGGUGUAAAGGGCGCGUAGGCGCGAUGGCAAGUCAGAUGUGAUAUCAAGGGACUCAACCCCUGAACUGCAUUU
This 280-nucleotide ribosomal RNA is filed under the name uncultured bacterium. RNAcentral describes it as "partial 16S ribosomal RNA". It matches the Rfam family "Bacterial small subunit ribosomal RNA", at positions 334 to 628 of the family's 1533-position model. The record is from RNAcentral.